CGUGGGUAACCUGCCCAAGAGAUCGGGAUAACACCUGGAAACAGAUGCUAAUACCGGAUAACAACAGAUGAUGCCUAUCAACUGUUUAAAAGAUGGUUCUGCUAUCACUCUUGGAUGGACCUGCGGUGCAUUAGCUAGUUGGUAGGGUAACGGCCUACCAAGGCGAUGAUGCAUAGCCGAGUUGAGAGACUGAUCGGCCGCAUUGGGGCUGAGACACGGCCCAAACUCCUACGGGAGGCAGCAGUU
RNAcentral lists this ribosomal RNA (246 nucleotides) under uncultured Lactobacillus sp. RNAcentral's name for it is "partial 16S ribosomal RNA". It matches the Rfam family "Bacterial small subunit ribosomal RNA", at positions 116 to 355 of the family's 1533-position model. The record is from RNAcentral. Lineage: Bacteria; Bacillati; Bacillota; Bacilli; Lactobacillales; Lactobacillaceae.